RNAcentral lists this unclassified non-coding RNA (253 nucleotides) under uncultured Ascomycota. RNAcentral's name for it is "sequence contains 5.8S rRNA gene, ITS2, 28S rRNA gene". The record is from RNAcentral. Lineage: Eukaryota; Fungi; Ascomycota.
AACGCACAUUGCGCCCCCUGGCAUUCCGGGGGGCACACCUGUCCGAGCGCCGUCGCAACACUAAGGCUCAGCCUUGCGUUGGCGGACCGGCCCCAUCCUUCGUCAAAGGGGGGGCCGGCCGCCCAAACUCCGACGGCGCCGCACCGCGGCCGACGAUGCGCAAACAGCAGACGUCCGGCGAGCGGGAGCGGCGGCCUUGUCUCUAUAUGAACAGCUUGGCCUCGGAUCAGGUGGGGAUACCCGCUGAACUUAA